CUGAUUGUGCCUCCAAGACGGCAUCGUGAUGCCCACCGCCGACGGUGCUGUGUCGCGACCAAAGGGGCACCCGUGUACGGCCGGGGACUCACUGCAGUUGAAGCACGCCAUCUCGCCACCAUGUAUGUUGUGUGUUCUUGUGCUGCAGGUCCUUGGGGUUGGGUGUUCUUGUCGCCACCAUGUUCAUGCAGGCACGAAUUGGACUGAGAAAUGCUAACAGAGGAGGAGAAGACCAUGCAAGUCCUUGGGGUUGGGCGCGGCAACUCGUGGCUCGAAGACAAUCUUUUGUGGUGGGGCGUCGCCGCCGCUGGCGGCACCUGCAUAGACCGUCUCGCUGGGAAUGAAGAGAUGCUCCCCUGAUUUGGAGCUGUAGAAAGGAGGUGGUUGCAAACACAAAGUGGGGACACACAACUCCCAGUCAUAAUAUUCUUUAUCUUGGCUCGUUGUUUGGGGAUGGACGCAUCAAUCUGAUCGCGCUCUCCUCCAUGCCAAAUGGAUCCUUGGUUCGGAGGUGCGCGGCGCCGACGAUGACAACCUUUCUAUCGAUGCAAGGGCAGCAGGAGCUCAUGACGCUGUUGAUGCCACCACCAUGCACGGGGUUGAUGCAAGGCGGGACAAUGCGAUCACUAAUGGGGAGAACAUAAAACUUCAAUUGAGGGCACCGUGAUUCUCUAGCUACAUGUAUCAU
This is a non-coding RNA of Triticum urartu, 688 nucleotides long. The record is from RefSeq and is a predicted model, not a curated record. Lineage: Eukaryota; Viridiplantae; Streptophyta; Magnoliopsida; Poales; Poaceae.